Molecule: ribosomal RNA, 451 nt
Filed under: uncultured bacterium
Lineage: Bacteria
Description: bacterial SSU rRNA
Rfam family: Bacterial small subunit ribosomal RNA
Source: RNAcentral
UGCAAGUCGAACGGUAACGCGGGGCAACCUGGCGACGAGUGGCGAACGGGUGAGUAAUGUAUCGGAACGUGCCCAGUAGUGGGGGAUAGCCCGGCGAAAGCCGGAUUAAUACCGCAUACGACCUACGGGUGAAAGGGGGGGAUCGCAAGACCUCUCGCUAUUGGAGCGGCCGAUAUCAGAUUAGGUAGUUGGUGGGGUAAAGGCCUACCAAGCCGACGAUCUGUAGCUGGUCUGAGAGGACGACCAGCCACACUGGGACUGAGACACGGCCCAGACUCCUACGGGAGGCAGCAGUGGGGAAUUUUGGACAAUGGGCGCAAGCCUGAUCCAGCCAUGCCGCGUGCGGGAAGAAGGCCUUCGGGUUGUAAACCGCUUUUGUCAGGGAAGAAAUCUUUCGGGUUAAUACCCUGGAGGGAUGACGGUACCUGAAGAAUAAGCACCGGCUAACUAC